Molecule: transfer RNA, 93 nt
Filed under: Catellatospora sp. IY07-71
Lineage: Bacteria; Bacillati; Actinomycetota; Actinomycetes; Micromonosporales; Micromonosporaceae
Description: tRNA-Ser
Source: RNAcentral
CGGCCCCGCAGCGUCCGGCGCGGCGCCGCGACUGCCGGCGCGACGCUGACGGCGGUCGGUGCGACACCGGUUCGACUUUCGGUUGGGCCGUCC